AGAGUUGAUCAUGGCUACAGGACGAACGCUGGCGGCGUGCCUAACACAUGCAAGUCGAGCGAGGAGAUCCUCGGGAUGAUCCUAGCGGCGGACGGGUGAGUAACACGUGGGCAACCUGCCUCAUAGAGAGGAAUAGCCUUCCGAAAGGGAGAUUAAUACCUCAUAACAUUGCAGUUUCGCAUGGAACAGCAAUUAAAGGAGUAAUCCGCUAUGAGAUGGGCCCGCGGCGCAUUAGCUAGUUGGUGAGGUAACGGCUCACCAAGGCGACGAUGCGUAGCCGACCUGAGAGGGUGAUCGGCCACAUUGGGACUGAGACACGGCCCAGACUCCUACGGGAGGCAGCAGUGGGGAAUAUUGCACAAUGGGGGAAACCCUGAUGCAGCCAACGCCGCGUGAGUGAUGACGGCCUUCGGGUUGUAAAGCUCUGUCUUCAGGGACGAUAAUGACGGUACCUGAGGAGGAAGCCACGGCUAACUACGUGCCAGCAGCUGC
This 492-nucleotide ribosomal RNA is filed under the name uncultured bacterium. Its description in RNAcentral is "bacterial SSU rRNA". It matches the Rfam family "Bacterial small subunit ribosomal RNA", at positions 8 to 518 of the family's 1533-position model. The record is from RNAcentral.